This 477-nucleotide ribosomal RNA is filed under the name uncultured bacterium. RNAcentral's name for it is "partial 16S ribosomal RNA". It matches the Rfam family "Bacterial small subunit ribosomal RNA", at positions 39 to 507 of the family's 1533-position model. The record is from RNAcentral.
GAGGAAAGAGGGGAGCGUGCAUAACACAUGCAAGUCGAACGAUGAGACUUUAAUGAAGCCUGCGGGGAGAAUUAAAGCGGAGUAGUGGCGAACUGGGGAGUAACGCGUGAGUAACCUGCCUUACACAAGGGGAUGGCCUUAGGAAACGAAGGAUAAUACCCUAUAAAACCAUAGAAGCACAUGCAAUGAUGGUCAAAGUGAUAGCGGUGUAAGAUGGACUUGCGUCUGAUUAGCUAGUUGGUGAGAUAAAAGCCCACCAAGGCAACGAUCAGUAGCCGGCUUGAGAGAGUGUACGGCCAGAUUGGGACUGAGCCACGGCCCCUACUACUGCGAGAGGCAGCAGUGGUGAAUCUUGCACAAGGGGCGUAAUCCUGAUGCGCCGACUCCGCGUGAUCUAGCAGCCCUCUGGGUUGUACAAUCCUUUGGUAUAGGACGAAAAUGACAGUACUAUACGAAUAAGCUCCGGCUAACUACGUG